Cygnus olor (mute swan) is the source of this 2727-nucleotide long non-coding RNA. RefSeq lists it as uncharacterized. The transcript has 3 exons. The record is from RefSeq and is a predicted model, not a curated record. Lineage: Eukaryota; Metazoa; Chordata; Aves; Anseriformes; Anatidae.
CAGGCACAGCCUUUGGGAGCAUCUGUGUAGGAGUGCCAGUCUCCUGUGCUGCAAGGGUAUGGCCAGUAUGGAAAUUGAUAUGCAGUGCAGGAAGGGUGCCUGUGCCCGCAUUGCCAAAGGAGUGCAUGGUCAGCAGAGCUUGCCCGUCCAUCCCUGGCCGCAGCGCAUUGGUUUCCUGUACUCUGCCAUUGAAACCCCCCAGAGAAUCUGCGUGCCCCGGGACCAUGGAGCUGCACUCGCCCCAGAAGAGGGAACGGUGAGCAGCCAUCAUCUGCCAUCCAGGUCUGUCCCCUUCCUGCCUUUUGGAGGGGCUGGGGGCAGUGGAGCCGUUUCCACCCAGCAGCCGGUGAGGGUGUAAGGGCCUGUAGGUGUGAUGAGGACAUGGGCUCCGCACAGUGGGGCAGGUGUGCAAGAGGUGUGUGUGUAAGCACUGCUCCUGCCCGAGGGUCACGCUGGAUCUUACACAGGAUCACACUACGGUUUUUUGGGGUGCUCAGUGCCAGCAGCCCCAUGCUCUCUUACGCCAAUGAGAGCAAAAGAACUGAGCUGAAGCUGGGAGGAAGGAGAGCAGCUGGCAGUGGCAUGGGGCCACUCCGUGGUGCCACUCAGCCCCAGCCACGUGGGGGGCAUGGGCUGACAGGAGGCACAGGGUGGUAGGAAGGUGAUGGCUCUUUUUGCUGCCAGCACUGGCUGUGACACUUGGAACUGGCAUGGAAAUCAUGGGCAAUGUGAAAAAAAACAAAGGAAGAAAUGACUUGGAGCUGUGCAUAACCUGUCCUUGUUAAGCAGAGGAAAAUGACUGUGCUUUUUUCUUUAAAACCCGAAAUACUCGGCAGCUUGCCCUUCAUGACUGUGUACGCUCCAGCGUGGCCUUUAAUCAGGCAGAAAUGGGACAUUUCCUCAGUAGCAGACCAGUGCCACGCUCCAUCUCACAGCGCCCAGCAUGUGCCAGCCUGGCACCACGUACGUGCAGCUCCCCGCGCCUGCCUUACUCGAAGAACAUAAAGUAGGUGGAUUUAGUGCUGUCGUGAGGUUAGAUAUAAACACGUGCCUUUCACUCUCGCAACCAAGUGGUACGAGGAAGUCAAUUCAUAGCUAUCUGCCCCACACAUCUAUCUGCACCUGAUAAAAUCUGCGGUCUGUACCCAGGCGCACAGCUGAUGUGAGCCCCGUCAGCACGGCAAGCCCACGCGUGGGCAGCACGGCUCUUCUUGUUCUUGCCCUUAUGAGUGCUGUUACCCGUUCCUAAGGCCGUGGGUCAGCAGGCUGAUUUAUGCUUUGUUUAACAAUAAGGUCACCCGCCAAAUAACCUUCCCCACUAAUUGGGGAUGUGGUCAGUGUCUACGGGCCGCCCUGCUCUGCCGGUCCAAUUUAAUGUUGUUAUUGCCAUGGGAAUUUCAGCUCAGUGCACGGGCAGCCUACUCCAUGCUAAUUAAAGUUCCCUUCACUGAUUGUCACAGCUGUCCAUGCUUAUUAAACUUCCCAUUCAUUUCAGUAAGACAGCAGCGACUAGAUGUGCGCCAGAAACCAGUCCUUUGAAGUGACAAUCUGAAUUCAUCAGACUUUAUCACACAGGCACUUCAGUUUCUGAGAAACUAUUAAUACUACAUCCCUUCUCCCACACCCAACCUUUCACUACAUUUAAUGCAAUCUGUCAUUUGCUGUCUCAAUAUGCCCCUCUGUACCACUGGCAUUAGCACUGUAGCUUUUUCUAAAUAAACACACUGAAGACUUAAGCUCCAACAGAUAGAAGUGCAUCCUCUCUCUGGCUUAGAGUGCCACUGCUAGAGAAGGGAAAUCUGUUCCUCUUUGGGCUGAUGCAAAUUUUGACUAAACAGCCACCACUGCUGAUACUGGAUUUGCAAGCUAAUGCAAAUGGGCAAUGCUGCUCAUAGCAGCCAGCACGAGGAUUAGUCACGCCAGGGCUUCGAAGUAAGCAGAGUGUUCAAGGGAAUUAUCUUUGUGAGGGCCACCAGCACAGCCCUCUCAACAAAACUGGUGAUGGAAAAGAUAUCUUACACUGGAUGGUCCAGCUCCUUGUAAGAAUACUUUGUAAUAAAUUGUCAUGUGCUUUGCAUAGUCUGCUUUAAAUGUUCCCAAGGAAAGGGGUCCCUUAAAUAUGGUCAGUACUGGGACCUGCAGUUGCUAACUGCAUCUAGUUAAGAGUUACUCAAGUCUUGUUCCUGUCUCUUGAGCCUGCUACCAAUGUGGUUUUUUCUCACUCACCAAUAGUUAUAAAAAUGUUGUCUUCUCCAUAUUCUCACUUUUUAAGGCUAAAAUUAUAAAUUAAAGCUACAUUAUAAAAUUUCAAUAAUAUUUACUAUUUAUUCUCAGUUUAAACCACUCAAUCCUCAUCUGAAUGCCUUUCCUUCUUGAGUACAUUGGCAUCAGAAUAAUUUGUCAGCUUUUUCACUGAUUGCAUCUCUAGUCUGCCUUCUGAACUGUGGCAUUACCAAAAUAACUUAUUAUUUAGAAAUGGAUUUCAGCAGCUAGAACCCCUUUCCUGCAGGAGGGCUUUCCAGAGCUCACCUGUUUUGUUCUUGCUUUAGGCAGGAAUUUGAGAAUGAUGAAGGCUCAGAGUAAUUUUAUCUACUAAGAUGUAAACUACAUACUUCAUUUAUCAUUUUAAAUACUGUAAUUACUUCUUAAAAUGAGAUUAUUCAUCAGGCCCAUGACACUGCUGAUAACAGUGUUAGCUUUCCCCAUGUGUGACGGAAACCAAUUAUU